AUUGAACGCUGGCGGCAGGCCUAACACAUGCCAGUCGAGCGGAUGAAGGGAGCUUGCUCCUGGAUUCAGCGGCGGACGGGCGAGUAAUGCCUAGGAAUCUGCCUGGUAGUGGGGGAUAACGUCCGGAAACGGGCGCUAAUACCGCAUACGUCCUGAGGGAGAAAGUGGGGGAUCUUCGGACCUCAUGCUAUCAGAUGAGCCUAGGUCGGAUUAGCUAGUUGGUGGGGUAAAGGCCUACCAAGGCGACGAUCCGUAACUGGUCUGAGAGGAUGAUCAGUCACACUGGAACUGAGACACGGUCCAGACUCCUACGGGAGGCAGCAGUGGGGAAUAUUGGACAAUGGGCGAAAGCCUGAUCCAGCCAUGCCGCGUGUGUGAAGAAGGUCUUCGGAUUGUAAAGCACUUUAAGUUGGGAGGAAGGGCAGUAAGUUAAUACCUUGCUGUUUUGACGUUACCAACAGAAUAAGCACCGGCUAACUUCGUG
Molecule: ribosomal RNA, 484 nt
Filed under: uncultured bacterium
Lineage: Bacteria
Description: partial 16S ribosomal RNA
Rfam family: Bacterial small subunit ribosomal RNA
Source: RNAcentral